This 637-nucleotide unclassified non-coding RNA is filed under the name uncultured Bartonella sp. RNAcentral's name for it is "partial 16S-23S ribosomal RNA intergenic spacer". The stretch from base 225 to 298 matches the Rfam family "tRNA". Lineage: Bacteria; Pseudomonadati; Pseudomonadota; Alphaproteobacteria; Hyphomicrobiales; Bartonellaceae. The record is from RNAcentral.
CAAAAGCUUUAAGGAAAGCUCUUUGUUUUUUGAAAGGGUGCUUUUAUGAGAUAGAGCUUUUUUAGAUAAUGCUGGGGAAGGUUUUCCGGUUUAUCUCUGGCGGUCUAUGCAAGUAAGCUCUCAUCAAAAGCUUUAAGGAAAGCUCUUUGUUUUUUGAAAGGGUGCUUUUAUGAGAUAGAGCUUUUUUAGAUAAUGCUGGGGAAGGUUUUCCGGUUUAUCUCGGAGGGCUUGUAGCUCAGUUGGUUAGAGCGCGCGCUUGAUAAGCGUGAGGUCGGAGGUUCAAGUCCUCCCAGGCCCACCAAUUUACCUAUCCAUUUGCCUUUAUCCGUUUAUUUGCCGAUUUAUCGGUCCAUUGAAUUUAAGUGUUGGUAGCGGUUUUUAUAAUGAUGAGAAAUCAUGCUUAUAAAAGAAUUCCUUAUAAAAGGCUUGUUUUUAAAAUGUGACGCUUAUCCAUUUCGCUUAGGCAAAAGAAACUUCAAGCGGUCAAAUGCAAAAGGCUUUAAAUUUUGCAAAACACUUUGAAUUUUAAAGUGAUCCAAGUUCGUGAUCUCGAAUUUAAAAGUUUCGAAUGCUUUAUCCUUUUUUGGGGGCCGUAGCUCAGCUGGGAGAGCACCUGCUUUGCAAGCAGGGGGUCGUC